GACGAACGCUGGCGGCGUGCUUAACACAUGCAAGUCGAACGGGAUCCAUCCCAGCUUGCUGGGAGAAGAUCUAGUGGCGAACGGGUGCGUAACACGUGGGCAACCUACCUCGGAGAUCGGGAUAACAGCUGGAAACGGCUGCUAAUACCGGAUAACCCUCCCGGAUCGCAUGGUCCGAGAGGCAAAUGGUCCGCCGCUCCGGGGUGGGCCCGCGGCCUAUCAGCUUGUUGGUGAGGUAACAGCUCACCAAGGCGACGACGGGUAGCCGACCUGGGGGGCUGAUCGGCCACACUGGGACUGAGACACGGCCCAGACUCCUACGGGAGGCAGCAGUGGGGAAUGUUGCGCAAUGGGCGCAAGCCUGACGCAGCAACGCCGCGUGGAGGAUGAGGGUCUUCGGAUUGUAAACUCCUGUCGGGAGGGACGAAGCGAAAGUGACGGUACCUCCAAAGGAAGCCCCGGCUAACUACGUGCCAGCAGCCGCAGUAA
Molecule: ribosomal RNA, 489 nt
Filed under: uncultured bacterium
Lineage: Bacteria
Description: partial 16S ribosomal RNA
Rfam family: Bacterial small subunit ribosomal RNA
Source: RNAcentral